This 181-nucleotide small RNA is filed under the name Akkermansiaceae bacterium. RNAcentral's name for it is "6S RNA". It matches the Rfam family "6S / SsrS RNA". Rfam says of the family: E. coli 6S RNA was the first non coding RNA to be sequenced, but its function was unknown until recently. It consists of 184 nucleotides that fold into an extended hairpin structure with a large single-stranded internal bulge. The 6S RNA specifically associates with RNA polymerase holoenzyme containing the sigma70 specificity factor. The record is from RNAcentral. Lineage: Bacteria; Pseudomonadati; Verrucomicrobiota; Verrucomicrobiia; Verrucomicrobiales; Akkermansiaceae.
UGCUGACUGCUGUGUGCGCCCAUUUUUGGUAGCUGGCCCGAACCGAUAUGAUUGAACCGGGAUCAUCUUCCAACGUAAUAUGUCAUGCCUUCUUAGGAAGACGGAAAAGCGAUGGACGAUCCCACUUAUUGAGUUUACGGAACGUGGCUCACAGCGCCAAGGACGGCACAGCGGUUAUCUU